GUGGGGAAUAUUGGACAAUGGGCGCAAGCCUGAUCCAGCCAUGCCGCGUGAGUGAUGAAGGCCCUAGGGUUGUAAAGCUCUUUCACCGAUGAAGAUAAUGACGGUAGUCGGAGAAGAAGCCCCGGCUAACUUCGUGCCAGCAGCCGCGGUAAUACGAAGGGGGCUAGCGUUGUUCGGAAUUACUGGGCGUAAAGCGCACGUAGGCGGAUAUUUAAGUCAGGGGUGAAAUCCAAGAGCUCAACUCUGGAACUGCCUUUGAUACUGGGUAUCUCGAGUAUGGAAGAGGUGAGUGGAAUUCCGAGGGUAGAGGUGAAAUUCGUAGAUAUUCGGAGGAACACCAGUGGCGAAGGCGGCUCACUGGUCCAUUACUGACGCUGAGGUGCGAAAGCGUGGGGAGCAAACAGGAUUAGAUACCCCAGUAGUCC
This 425-nucleotide ribosomal RNA is filed under the name uncultured bacterium. Its description in RNAcentral is "bacterial SSU rRNA". It matches the Rfam family "Bacterial small subunit ribosomal RNA", at positions 354 to 796 of the family's 1533-position model. The record is from RNAcentral.